GGGUAAUUGGUCUAGGGGUAUGAUUUUCCCUUCGCAUUCUACAGCGCCUGGGAAAGGCCACCGGUUCGAAUCCGGUAUUAUCCA
Molecule: transfer RNA, 84 nt
Filed under: Immersiella caudata
Lineage: Eukaryota; Fungi; Ascomycota; Sordariomycetes; Sordariales; Lasiosphaeriaceae
Description: Cercophora caudata tRNA-Ala
Rfam family: tRNA
About the family: Transfer RNA (tRNA) molecules are approximately 80 nucleotides in length. Their secondary structure includes four short double-helical elements and three loops (D, anti-codon, and T loops).
Source: RNAcentral